Oryza sativa Japonica Group (Japanese rice) is the source of this 119-nucleotide ribosomal RNA. The record is from Rfam. Lineage: Eukaryota; Viridiplantae; Streptophyta; Magnoliopsida; Poales; Poaceae.
GGAUGCUAUCAUACCAGCACUAAAGCACCGGAUCCCAUCAGAACUCCGAAGUUAAGCGUGCUUGGGCGAGAGUAGUACUAGGAUGGGUGACCUCCUGGGAAGUCCUCGUGUUGCAUCCC